RNAcentral lists this ribosomal RNA (899 nucleotides) under uncultured archaeon. RNAcentral's name for it is "bacterial SSU rRNA". It matches the Rfam family "Archaeal small subunit ribosomal RNA", at positions 21 to 904 of the family's 1478-position model. The record is from RNAcentral.
CCCGACUGCUAUUUGGGUGAGAAUAAGCCAUGCAAGUUGAAUGGAAUGCCAAAAUAUUCCAUGGCAAACUGCUCAAUAACACGUGAUCAACUUACCCUAUGGAAAACAAUAACCUCUGGAAACGGAGGAUAAUGGUUUAUAGUUGAAAAGGCUUGGAAAAGUUUUUCAAUAAAAGGGAAUAAUAAAAAUGGUUAUUAUUUUGCCAUAGGAUAGGAUUGCGGUCGAUUAUGGCUGUUGGUGAGGUAAUGGCUCACCAAACCAAUAAUCGAUAGGGGCCGUGAGAGCGGGAGCCCCGAGAUGGGUACUGAGACAACGACCCAGGCCUUACGAGGCGCAGCAGGCGCGAAAACUCCGCAAUACACGAAAGUGUGACGGGGUUACCCAAAGUGCUUAAUAUUUAAGCUGUGGUAAGUGUGUAAUGUACCUUACUAGAAAGGAGAGGGCAAGGCUGGUGCCAGCCGCCGCGGUAAAACCAGCUCUUCAAGUGGUCGGGAUAAUAUUGGGCUUAAAGUGUCCGUAGCCGGUUUAGUAAGUUCCUGGUAAAAUCGGGUAGCUUAGCUAUCUGCAUGCUAGGAAUACUGCUAUACUAGAGGGCGGGAGAGGUCUGAGGUACUGCAGGGGUAGGGGUGAAAUCUUAUAAUCCUUGUAGGACCACCAGUGGCGAAGGCGUCAGACUGGAACGCGCCUGACGGUGAGGGACGAAAGCCAGGGGAGCGAACCGGAUUAGAUACCCGGGUAGUCCUGGCCGUAAACGAUGCAUACUAGGUGAUGGUACGGCCAUGAGCCGUAUCAGUGCCGUAGGGAAACCGUUAAGUGUGCCGCCUGGGAAGUACGGUCGCAAGGCUAAAACUUAAAGGAAUUGGCGGGGGAGCACCACAAGGGGUGAAGCCUGCGGUUCA